AGGAUAAACGCUGGCGGCGUGCCUAACACAUGCAAGUCGAACGCGCUUGCUAUCCGCGAGGACGGUGAGCGAGUGGCGGACGGGUGAGGAACACGUGGGUGACCUACCUUUCAGUGAGGGAUACCGGCGAGAAAUUGCCGACAAGACCGCAUACGCUUCUCUUUUCAAGGGGAGAAGGAAAGCUUUUCGCAAGAGAGGCGCUGGGAGAUGGGCCUGCGGCCGAUUAGCUAGCUGGUGGGGUAAUGGCCUACCAGGGCGACGAUCGGUAGCUGGUCUGAGAGGACGAUCAGCCACACUGGGAUUGAGAACGGCCCAGACUCCUACGGGGGGCAGCAGUGAGGAAUUUUCGGCAAUGGGGCAACCCUGACCGAGCAACGCGCGUGCAGGCGACGGCUCGGUUGUAAACUGCUUUCUCUGGGACGAGCAAGGACGGUACCGAGAGGAAGAAGCCCGGCUAACUACGUGCCAGCAGCCGCGGU
Molecule: ribosomal RNA, 479 nt
Filed under: uncultured bacterium
Lineage: Bacteria
Description: SSU rRNA
Rfam family: Bacterial small subunit ribosomal RNA
Source: RNAcentral